RNAcentral lists this long non-coding RNA (1155 nucleotides) under Apteryx haastii (Great spotted kiwi). Its description in RNAcentral is "lncRNA (ENSAHAG00000014358.1)". The record is from RNAcentral. Lineage: Eukaryota; Metazoa; Chordata; Aves; Apterygiformes; Apterygidae.
AUGCGCAUGGGCCACCGCUGCCCACCCUCACCUGCGUCCCCUCCUCCACCUGGGGCACGUCCUUCCCGCACACGGCGCGCUGCGACGGGCACGUCUCGGCGGCGAGCGGCGGGCACCACGGCACAGCCCACCUGCGACGGCGUCCGCCCCGUCACCGCCCGGCGCCUCUCCCCCCGAGGCCGGGCGGACGCCGGCUCUCCGUGCGUCCGAGGAGGAGGCCCCCCCAUCCCAAAGCUUACUUGGGGGUCUUGCUGGAUGYGGAGGCCCCGGCGGGGGCCGUCGCGGCGCGGGCGCACGAGGACGCCUCCCUGCCCUGCGCCGAGACGCGCYGCUGCUGCCCGCCGGCCGCGGGGCCGCGGGGUUUCGGCAGCGUGCUGGGCUCCAUCCCGUGCUCAGCUCACGCCUCCGGCCACGGCUCGACCCUGCUGGGGACGGGGGCACCCGCGUGGCACCCCGGGGCCUCGCGCCGUGGCCGGCAAGGGUGCGCCGYGGUGCUGUGCGGCGCGCUGCCCCGUGCGUCGUGACCCCUCGCGCCGCCAGCCAGCUGCAAAGCCCCGGCGAUGGGGACCCCGAUCCCUCCGCAGACCCUCCAGCAGGACGGACGGGGACCCUGAAGUCAGCAAGCGUCCCGCGAGCCCAGGCUCAGGCUGUGUGGGCGCACACACGUGCUGCUCCGAGACCUGCCCGCCCCCUGCCUCAGUUUCCCCAUCUGAAACAGCAGCAGCGCUGGCCCCGUCUCCCCUUCCGUCACCCUCAGGCUGCCGACCCGCAGCACCGCUGUGCCGGGCUGUGACCCCAUGGGUGGGGGACCGUGUCCCCUGCCGUGGGCCCUUGGGCACCAGCCAGGGCUGCCUUUGCACCGGGCACGUGGCCAUCUUACCCUGCGGGUGCCGGCGCCGGCUGCCUCGGGUGCUCGUCCUGCCCCGUGCUGGUCCCUGGUGGCGCGGGCAGCCCCGGAGCCUGCUGCCCGGUGUCCCCGCUCCGCCUGAUGCCACCGUUCUGCCCGGUGUCACCGCUUUUCCUGAUGUCACAGAGCACCCAAGGGUGCUGACGGAGGCUUGGUGGCCGCGGGGCAUUCCCUGGUGCUUGGGGACAGUGCUGGGUGCCGACCUGCCCCAAGCUCCAUGCUCUGGCCGGGUCCCCCAGGGUCUCUAA